RNAcentral lists this ribosomal RNA (253 nucleotides) under uncultured bacterium. RNAcentral describes it as "partial 16S ribosomal RNA". It matches the Rfam family "Bacterial small subunit ribosomal RNA", at positions 524 to 776 of the family's 1533-position model. The record is from RNAcentral.
UACAGAGGUCCCAAGCGUUGUUCGGAUUCACUGGGCGUAAAGGGUGCGUAGGUGGUCGGGUAAGUUUAAGGUGAAAGCUCCGGGCUCAACCCGGAAAUGGCCUUGAAUACUAUCCGGCUCGAGGGUUGGAAGGGGGACUGGAAUUCUCGGUGUAGCAGUGAAAUGCGUAGAUAUCGAGAGGAACACCAGUGGCGAAGGCGAGUCCCUGGACAACACCUGACACUGAGGCACGAAAGCUAGGGGAGCAAACGGG